AAACUUUCAACAAUGGAUCUCUUGGUUCCCGCAUCGAUGAAGAACGCAGC
This 50-nucleotide ribosomal RNA is filed under the name Nannizziopsis guarroi. RNAcentral's name for it is "partial 5.8S ribosomal RNA". It matches the Rfam family "5.8S ribosomal RNA", at positions 1 to 49 of the family's 154-position model. Rfam says of the family: 5.8S ribosomal RNA (5.8S rRNA) is a component of the large subunit of the eukaryotic ribosome. It is transcribed by RNA polymerase I as part of the 45S precursor that also contains 18S and 28S rRNA. Functionally, it is thought that 5.8S rRNA may be involved in ribosome translocation. Lineage: Eukaryota; Fungi; Ascomycota; Eurotiomycetes; Onygenales; Nannizziopsiaceae. The record is from RNAcentral.